UACGUAGGGUGCGAGCGUUGUCCGGAAUUAUUGGGCGUAAAGAGCUCGUAGGCGGUUUGUCGCGUCUGCUGUGAAAACCGGAGGCUCAACCUCCGGCCUGCAGUGGGUACGGGCAGACUAGAGUGCGGUAGGGGAGAUUGGAAUUCCUGGUGUAGCGGUGGAAUGCGCAGAUAUCAGGAGGAACACCGAGGGCGAAGGCAGAUCUCUGGGCCGUAACUGACGCUGAGGAGCGAAAGCAUGGGGAGCGAACCGG
RNAcentral lists this ribosomal RNA (253 nucleotides) under uncultured bacterium. RNAcentral describes it as "partial 16S ribosomal RNA". It matches the Rfam family "Bacterial small subunit ribosomal RNA", at positions 524 to 776 of the family's 1533-position model. The record is from RNAcentral.